GACGAACCGUGCAAACGUUGUUCGGAAUCACUGGGCGUAAAGGGCGCGUAGGCGGCCUGUUAAGUCGAACGUGAAAUCCCCGGGCUCAACCCGGGAACUGCGUCCGAUACUGGCAGGCUUGAAUUCGGGAGAGGGAUGCGGAAUUCCAGGUGUAGCGGUGAAAUGCGUAGAUAUCUGGAGGAACACCGGUGGCGAAGGCGGCAUCCUGGACCGAGAUUGACGCUGAGGCGCGAAAGCCAGGGGAGCAAACGGG
Molecule: ribosomal RNA, 253 nt
Filed under: uncultured bacterium
Lineage: Bacteria
Description: partial 16S ribosomal RNA
Rfam family: Bacterial small subunit ribosomal RNA
Source: RNAcentral